ACACCUGUUUGAGUGUCAUG
RNAcentral lists this ribosomal RNA (20 nucleotides) under Cronartium flaccidum. Its description in RNAcentral is "partial 5.8S ribosomal RNA". The record is from RNAcentral. Lineage: Eukaryota; Fungi; Basidiomycota; Pucciniomycetes; Pucciniales; Coleosporiaceae.